CCUACGGGCGGCUGCAGUAGGGAAUCUUCCACAAUGGGCGAAAGCCUGAUGGAGCAACGCCGCGUGGGCGAAGAAGGUCUUCGGAUCGUAAAACUCUGUUGUUAGAGAAGAAAGUGCGUGAGAGUAACUGUUCACGUUUCGACGGUAUCUAACCAGAAAGCCACGGCUAACUACGUGCCAGCAGCCGCGGUAAUACGUAGGUGGCAAGCGUUAUCCGGAUUUAUUGGGCGUAAAGGGAACGCAGGCGGUCUUUUAAGUCUGAUGUGAAAGCCUUCGGCUUAACCGGAGUAGUGCAUUGGAAACUGGGAGACUUGAGUGCAGAAGAGGAGAGUGGAACUCCAGGUGUAGCGGUGAAAUGCGUAGAUAUAUGGAAGAACACCAGUGGCGAAAGCGGCUCUCUGGUCUGUAACUGACGCUGAGGUUCGAAAGCGUGGGUAGCAAACAGGAUUAGAUACCCUAGUAGUC
RNAcentral lists this ribosomal RNA (465 nucleotides) under uncultured bacterium. Its description in RNAcentral is "partial 16S ribosomal RNA". It matches the Rfam family "Bacterial small subunit ribosomal RNA", at positions 338 to 795 of the family's 1533-position model. The record is from RNAcentral.